AAUCGAACUCGGAGAUAGCUGGUUCUCCUCGAAAUAGCUUUAGGGCUAGCCUCGAGGGAAGUGAUAUGGAGGUAGAGCACUGAAUGGUCUAGGGGCACAUGAGUGUUACCAAAACCUAUCAAACUCCGAAUGCCAUAAUCACGAUACUCGGGAGUCAGACUACGGGGGAUAAGCUUCGUAGUCGAGAGGGAAAGAGCCCAGACCACCAGCUAAGGUCCCUAAAUCCAAAUUAAGUGGCAAAGGAGGUAGGGUUACAGAGACAACCAGGAUGUUGGCUUAGAAGCAGCCAUACAUUUAAAGAGUGCGUAAUAGCUCACUGGUCGAGUGACUCUGCGCCGAAGAUUACCGGGGCUAAAUUUGGUACCGAAGCUGUGGUCUAGCACUCAACAAGAUGAGUGCUAGAGGUAGAGGAGCGUUCUGUACGGGCGGAAGCCAUACUGUAAGGAGUGGUGGACUGUACAGAAGUGAGAAUGCUGGCAUGAGUAGCGAGAAGGUAAGUGAGAAUCUUACCCGUCGAAAGCCUAAGGUUUCCUGAGGAAGGCUCGUCCACUCAGGGUUAGUCGGGACCUAAGCCGAGGUUGAAGAAACGUAGGCGAUGGACAACAGGUUGAGAUUCCUGUACUAUCGAAGAGCGUUAGAGAGAAGGGGUGACGCAGGAGGAUAGGUUGAGCGCACGGUUGGUAGAGUGCGUCUAAGCACGUAGGGAGCCGGGAUAGGCAAAUCCGUUCCGGCAAUUCUGAAAUGCGAUGGGGAGCGAAAAAUAAGUAGCGAAGCAACCGACUCCAUACUGCCAAGAAAAGCCUCUAUCGAGCUUGGAGAUACCCGUACCGCAAACCGACACAGGUAGGCGAGGAGAGAAUCCUAAGACGCGCGGAAGAACCUUUGUUAAGGAACUAGGCAAAAUGGCCUCGUAACUUCGGGAGAAGGGGCGCCGGGAGAGAUCUCGGCCGCAGUGAAUAGGCCCAAGCGACUGUUUACCAAAAACACAAGUCUCUGCUAAGUCGAAAGACGAAGUAUAGGGGCUGACACCUGCCCGGUGCUGGAAGGUUAAGGGGAAGGGUUAGCGAAAGCGAAGCUCUGAACUUAAGCCCCAGUAAACGGCGGCCGUAACUAUAACGGUCCUAAGGUAGCGAAAUUCCUUGUCGGGUAAGUUCCGACCCGCACGAAAGGUGUAACGACUUGGGCACUGUCUCAACAAAGGAUCCGGUGAAAUUGUAGUACUCGUGAAGAUGCGAGUUACCCGCGAUAGGACGGAAAGACCCCGUGGAGCUUUACUGCAGGCUGACAUUGGAUUUUGGUAUUGCAUGUACAGGAUAGGUGGGAGACAGAGAAGCAUGGGCGCCAGCCUAUGUGGAGUCGGCCUUGGGAUACCACUCUUGCAAUGCUGAAGUUCUAACCAGAGCCUUUGAAGCAAGGCAUGGGACACUGUCAGUUGGGCAGUUUGACUGGGGCGGUCGCCUCCUAAAAGGUAACGGAGGCGUUCAAAGGUUCCCUCAGCACGGUCGGAAAUCGUGCGGAGAGUGCAAAGGCAGAAGGGAGCUUGACUGCGACACAGACAGGUGGAGCAGGAACGAAAGUUGGACUUAGUGAUCCGGUGGUUCCGAGUGGAAGGGCCAUCGCUCAACGGAUAAAAGCUA
RNAcentral lists this ribosomal RNA (1637 nucleotides) under bioreactor metagenome. Its description in RNAcentral is "bacterial LSU rRNA". It matches the Rfam family "Bacterial large subunit ribosomal RNA", at positions 831 to 2465 of the family's 2925-position model. The record is from RNAcentral.